GUUUAUCCAUUAAACCCAUGGCUGUCUUCACUGAGUUUAAGGAACCUACAUCUUCUGACAGUGAACAGAUUACUGGAAAUUCGGAACCCCAAAAAGACGACAAAACUGUAGAGGCAGCAGAUACUGAUCUUGCACUCAAGAUGGAAUGAAUUUGUUCAUUUUCUCAAAGAAAAUGUAUGCUUUGAGAACAGCUGCAGCUGGGAAGGAGGAAAAUGUUGUCAUACCUGUUGCAACAAAACAAGACCUAUGGCAUGGAUAGAACUGUAAAUC
This is a long non-coding RNA of Pristis pectinata (smalltooth sawfish), 270 nucleotides long. RefSeq lists it as uncharacterized. NCBI's taxonomy places the organism in Eukaryota, Metazoa, Chordata, Chondrichthyes, Rhinopristiformes, Pristidae. The transcript is spliced from 3 exons. The record is from RefSeq and is a predicted model, not a curated record.